GGUUGACCUCGGAUCAGGUAGGAAUACCCGCUGAACUUAAGCAUAUCAAUAAGCGGAGGAAAAGAAACCAACAG
This 74-nucleotide ribosomal RNA is filed under the name Virgaria sp. HMF-090. RNAcentral describes it as "partial 28S ribosomal RNA". It matches the Rfam family "Eukaryotic large subunit ribosomal RNA", at positions 1 to 71 of the family's 3401-position model. Lineage: Eukaryota; Fungi; Ascomycota. The record is from RNAcentral.